RNAcentral lists this long non-coding RNA (1466 nucleotides) under Ictidomys tridecemlineatus (thirteen-lined ground squirrel). Its description in RNAcentral is "lncRNA (ENSSTOG00000030633.1)". Lineage: Eukaryota; Metazoa; Chordata; Mammalia; Rodentia; Sciuridae. The record is from RNAcentral.
CCAGGUGGGUUGGGCCGGCCCACCCUGCCAGGGGCCGGGAGGUAGGUGGCCAGCUGGAUGCACUUAGGACUUCGCGGGGGACCGAGGUACACGAUGUCUCCCCACGUGUCCCCGCCCCGCCCGCCCCCGGCUAUCGGCACCGCGUGCCUGGGCUUGCAUGACGCACCUCAAGGCAGUGGGAUUGGGACAGGGGCUAUUUUUGGUGGUGCAGAUAAUGGGUUUCUGCACAGGAACGUGUUCCGGGAACGGAAGCCGUGCUGGGUGGAGGAGCACCUUCAGGGUUUUAAAGCACUUGGACUUGGCUUCAGCUGUGGACUUGCGUGGAGGCACAGAACGACGGGCACAGGAGCAGGCGGAGCUGGAACUGGUUUCUGGACUCUUCUCCCUGGAUGCUGUUCCCUAAAAACUCAGCCGGGAGGCGCGCUGCAGGGCGACAGUGCAGAGAGCUGUCUUGUCUGAUUGGGGGUGUACAGGCGGGGCUCUGAGAGGGAGGCCCAGCCUCAAACCGUCCUUUCCUUGGAGAGGACACCCUGGGGUGUCCUAAACACAGGGACACAGGCCUCUCUGCAUCUCCCAGGUCACUGCUUUCCGUACCGAAUGAAUGACUUGCUGUGACCUAGAGUCUAGCCCCAGUGCUUCUGUUGAGGGCUCCUUCCUUUGCCUGUUCUCCCUUUAGUCCGCCCAGGCUCCCUCCCUUGCCUCUGGCUCUGCAGUGGGCCUCGGCCGCCGGUUCCGUGGGCCGCCACUGGGUGGCGCAGCUGCCCGCGCGUGCUGAGGGGCCGCGGAGCGGUGCAGCCAGCCUGGCCUCCCAGACCUCCAGCCUGCAGCAGCCCUGCCGCCUUCUGUCAGCCUAGGCUCCGGGCUCCUGGGGCUGAGGAGGUCGGGAUCGUGUCGGCAAAGAGCAGGGUCUCCAAGCUCUGCCAGGGCAGUGGCUCUUUCCCCCAGGAAGUCCUCUCUGGGGUGCAGUGAACUGGACAACUGCCUUCGAAGAGAAGGGUCUGUGCACACAGAUGGAGUGACUGGGGUGGGGGUGGGGGCGUCUUCAUGGGAACACACCCUGAGCCCUUCUCGGCGCCAGGCAUUUUACAACUGUGAACUCCUUACAUUCUCACAACCCUACAGGCUCUUUUGACAGUGGAGGACACUGGCACAGGUUGUCAGCUAGUCAGUGGCGGGACCUGGGUUCUAACCCCGGCAUUCUGAUGGCCCCCAGCCUCCUCUCAGGGAGGAGGCGGGCAGACCUGGCCGGGGACUGUGCCUGUAGUCAUGACUUUGAUGCCCCUCGGAUGGAGGCUUCAUUCACUCGGUUUUCCAACAGAUGUUGAUGCAGGGCUUCCUGCUGGCCAGGCAGCGCAUGUGGCCCUUGCUGUAUGCUCCACGACUCCAGCCACAGUCCUUGCCCUGUGGAACUGGUGGGGGAGACAGAGAUGAACCAAAAAACAAAAACCAACAAAUAACAAAACAAC